GAGUUUGAUCCUGGCUCAGAUUGAACGCUGGCGGCAGGCCUAACACAUGCAAGUCGAGCGGCAGCACAGAGGAACUUGUUCCUUGGGUGGCGAGCGGCGGACGGGUGAGUAAUGCCUGGGAAAUUGCCCUGAUGUGGGGGAUAACCAUUGGAAACGAUGGCUAAUACCGCAUGAUGCCUACGGGCCAAAGAGGGGGACCUUCGGGCCUCUCGCGUCAGGAUAUGCCCAGGUGGGAUUAGCUAGUUGGUGAGGUAAUGGCUCACCAAGGCGACGAUCCCUAGCUGGUCUGAGAGGAUGAUCAGCCACACUGGAACUGAGACACGGUCCAGACUCCUACGGGAGGCAGCAGUGGGGAAUAUUGCACAAUGGGCGCAAGCCUGAUGCAGCCAUGCCGCGUGUAUGAAGAAGGCCUUCGGGUUGUAAAGUACUUUCAGUCGUGAGGAAGGUUGUAGUGUGAAUAGCACUAUGAUUUGACGUUAGCGACAGAAGAAGACACCGGCUAACUCCG
This 508-nucleotide ribosomal RNA is filed under the name Vibrio sp. AER No.10. Its description in RNAcentral is "bacterial SSU rRNA". It matches the Rfam family "Bacterial small subunit ribosomal RNA", at positions 9 to 505 of the family's 1533-position model. The record is from RNAcentral. Lineage: Bacteria; Pseudomonadati; Pseudomonadota; Gammaproteobacteria; Vibrionales; Vibrionaceae.